Molecule: transfer RNA, 76 nt
Filed under: Deinococcus ruber
Lineage: Bacteria; Thermotogati; Deinococcota; Deinococci; Deinococcales; Deinococcaceae
Description: tRNA-Gln
Rfam family: tRNA
About the family: Transfer RNA (tRNA) molecules are approximately 80 nucleotides in length. Their secondary structure includes four short double-helical elements and three loops (D, anti-codon, and T loops).
Source: RNAcentral
GGGGGCGUAGUUCAACCGGCAGAGCGCCAGUUUCUGAAGCUGGAAGUUGAAGGUUCGAAUCCUUCCGCCCCUUCCA